UACGUAGGGUGCAAGCGUUAAUCGGAAUUACUGGGCGUAAAGCGUGCACAGGCGGUUUUGUAAGUCUGUCGUGAAAUCCCCGGGCUCAACCUGGGAAUUGCGAUGGAGACUGCAAGGCUAGAAUCUGGCAGAGGGGGGUAGAAUUCCACGUGUAGCAGUGAAAUGCGUAGAGAUGUGGAGGAACACCGAUGGCGAAGGCAGCCCCCUGGGUCAAGAUUGACGCUCAUGCACGAAAGCGUGGGGAGCAAACGAGG
RNAcentral lists this ribosomal RNA (254 nucleotides) under uncultured bacterium. Its description in RNAcentral is "partial 16S ribosomal RNA". It matches the Rfam family "Bacterial small subunit ribosomal RNA", at positions 524 to 777 of the family's 1533-position model. The record is from RNAcentral.